UAGGGAAUCUUCCGCAAUGGACGAAAGUCUGACGGAGCAACGCCGCGUGAGUGAUGAAGGUUUUCGGAUCGUAAAGCUCUGUUGUUAGGGAAGAACAAGUACCGUUCAAAUAGGGCGGUACCUUGACGGUACCUAACCAGAAAGCCACGGCUAACUACGUGCCAGCAGCCGCGGUAAUACGUAGGUGGCAAGCGUUGUCCGGAAUUAUUGGGCGUAAAGGGCUCGCAGGCGGUUUCUUAAGUCUGAUGUGAAAGCCCCCGGCUUAACCGGGGAGGGUCAUUGGAAACUGGGGAACUUGAGUGCAGAAGAGGAGAGUGGAAUUCCACGUGUAGCGGUGAAAUGCGUAGAGAUGUGGAGGAACACCAGUGGCGAAGGCGACUCUCUGGUCUGUAACUGACGCUGAGGAGCGAAAGCGUGGGGAGCGAACAGG
RNAcentral lists this ribosomal RNA (430 nucleotides) under uncultured Bacillus sp. RNAcentral's name for it is "bacterial SSU rRNA". It matches the Rfam family "Bacterial small subunit ribosomal RNA", at positions 355 to 776 of the family's 1533-position model. Lineage: Bacteria; Bacillati; Bacillota; Bacilli; Caryophanales; Bacillaceae. The record is from RNAcentral.